GCUCUAGGGCACGAGUGAAACGC
This 23-nucleotide ribosomal RNA is filed under the name Scleroderma verrucosum. RNAcentral describes it as "partial 18S ribosomal RNA". Lineage: Eukaryota; Fungi; Basidiomycota; Agaricomycetes; Boletales; Sclerodermataceae. The record is from RNAcentral.